This is a long non-coding RNA of Nerophis ophidion (straightnose pipefish), 3410 nucleotides long. RefSeq lists it as uncharacterized. NCBI's taxonomy places the organism in Eukaryota, Metazoa, Chordata, Actinopteri, Syngnathiformes, Syngnathidae. The transcript has 7 exons. The record is from RefSeq and is a predicted model, not a curated record.
CCAGCAGAAGGAAGCAGUGAAGCCUUGAAGAGCCGACGGCGCAUUUCCUCAACCGGGCAGUGUGCUUCAAUGCUACUUACAAUGGCUACAAGGCAAGCAGACCAAACCGGGUUCCACGAUUCACGCCUUCCGGUGUUACAUGUUGAAGCGUGACAAGGAUGCACAAACGCAGACCGCGCCCGGACAUGACGCCCCAGGUGAAGAGAAGCCCACUGAUGCCAUGCUCCUUGAAGUGUCUAUGGAGGUGGAAUCUCAGCCUGAGUUUUCAUCAUCAAUCAUUGUCCAAAAUAUACACUCUUUUGAACUGAAUUGAGCUGACUGAAAUGUGGCGACAGCUUCUACCUCGCAGACGACGAGGACGCCGCCGGAAGCAGAUCCUUCCCGCCGGAAGCAGAUCCUUCCCGCCGGAAGCAGAUCCUUCCCGCCUUACAGCUCUAAUCGUCGGAGACGGUGCUGCGUCGCCCCUGACUUCAGGCGCCCAGCUGCUGCCGGAAGACCAGCACGACUGGGUGGGAUGUGCGCUUUUUGUCCGAGGUCCCAAGGGGAAAGUGGUUCUCAAGUCCAGGCCACGGCUGUGGUGGCAUUCUCCCCAGCUGUUGCCGUAUUACACGCAGCCCCCUGCCUCAUCCGCUGUGUUUUUCCACUCGCGCUUUUUCCUGUGAUGCUCGUACAAGCUUUGGGGCUGCAAUCUCGAGUGCCAAAAUAAAAAUACAAGCUGCUGGGUUUCGGACUGUACAAGAGUCUGAGAAAGGUCUUGGACCUCAGUAACUGGUACUACAUGACCACAGAGUACCUGGAGUGCCGCAAGAAAUAUGUUGCCUGGGUCAGCAACAUUGUCGGGCAGCUGAGCACGGCAAAACAGGCGGGGUUCCCGGCGAUCCUCACCUACAAGUUAUCUUGUGACAUGAAGGUCAUAUGGCAGAUGCAGGCUCGCACGCUGGGUACCAGUGCCACUCGACUUCGCUCCCACCUGAUAAGUGGAGCACUCGCGAGAGUGGCAGACCCGGGCCGUCGAGUACCUGGAGGUGAUGGCUCGCUUUCGCUCCGUCGGCUCCUUCCCGCUGCCGAGGGACUGCAUCCUGCCCAUGCGCCCGAUACCAAGCGUUUCCUGGCUGGUGUCGGUAUACGUGAGGGAGGUUCUUCCUCGCAUGGAGCACACGAAGGCCAGGAUUACGUCUACAUUGGGAAGUAUCCUGAAAAUGGAAUCCACCAAGGAGAUGACCAAGAAGCUGGCAGGUGAAGCCGCGGGAACGGCUGCCUGGGUCACCAACGUCGGCAACGAGCUGGGCCAGGUGCUAAUGUCGGUGGUGACGGCAGUAGAGGGGGACGGUCUGCUGGCCAUGGCCCAGGGACUCAUGCGCCGCCACCGGGAGACCAGCCGAGACCCUCCUCACGUGCUCUAUGUGAACCGUGACUGCUGCUGCUCCGCCGCCGGACAGCUUAAGGCAGGGGUCCGAAACCUUUUUGGCUGAGAGAGCCCUGAAAGCCAAAUACUUUAAAAUGUAUUUCCGUGAGAGCCAUAUCAUAUUUUUUAACACUGAAUACAACUAAAUGCGUGCUAUUUUUAAGUAAGACCAACAUUUUUAGAGUAUAAUAAGUCUCUAAUUCUUUUUAAUGACAUUAUUCCUUGCACAGGUGCGGUAGGAAACGGAUGCAUGAAUUAAAAUGCAUGAGAAUGUUUUAUAUUCUACGUUAUUUUUAACACCGUAAUUACCAGCGGAAUUAUUCAUUACUUAUCGUGUUAAGCAAUGUCAGCUAAGAUUUAUCUGAGAGCCAGAUGCAGUCAUCAAAAUAGCCACAUCUGGCUCUAGAGCCAUAGGUUCCCUACUCCUGGCCUAAGGUAAGGUUUUGAUCUGCUGUGCUGUAGUUUUCAAACGGUGGCCUGCCCGGCAUAACUUGGGUCCGUGUUAUUAGGUGGCAGCUACGUUCGGCAAGUGGGACCGGCUGGUGGUGCGCUUGGACGCGUGGCACCUCAUGCGCCGCUUUGCCAGGGGCGUUUCCACAGAGGGCCACACACUGUAUGGCGAAUUCAUGAACAGACUCUCGUUUGCCAUGUUUGAGUGGGAUAAGGGAGACGUGAAGCGUCUGCGUGAGGCUAAGCAGACAGAGCAUGGCGGGAAUGCCCACGUCAAGCUGCUGAGCAAGGAGCUGCACCAUAACUGCCGCACCAGAGAAGUGGAGAAAACCACGCGUCUUGCCCAAGAGGUGCUUGAUCACUUGUGGGAUGCCAAAAACAGCUUGGGCGUCAAGCUUUUUGACCAAGACAGGAUGAGGGAGAUCUGGAACACUCAGCUACGCCACUUGGGCUGCAUCCAAGACCCGCCUUGCGUGGCGCUUUAUACAAGGACUUCCACAGUGACCUAAGGAGGGGUGGCUCUUACGGUCUUCCGCUGCGAACGGGGCUCCCCUUCUCUAGAGAGCUUCCACCUGCACUUGUGCCGUUUUUAUUCCUGGUAAAGUCUAUGUAACUGUAUCGAUCGGGGCCACUGUUCCGGACGAGCGUGUCCAACACAUUCUCUAUACGAUGCCACAGGUACGUCGGCCAGCGGCCUCCACUUCCAGGUUUACCUGGUCUGUGUAGGUGGAACGAGGACCGAGGAAGAGCGGCGGUGAGAAGGACCGAUGCUGUCACGGUACAGUGUUACGACGCCGAGGCUGAUCCGGACCGGCCCGACCCAGCAGACCUGAACAAAGAUCAGGAGGACGAAUACCAACUUGAGGAUGAUGACAGUUAUGAUGACGUGCCAGAGGGAAUCGAACAGUAUUGAGGGGACUGCGAUUCCUUCGUGACUCCACCUCCCGACGAUGAGCCAGCGGAAGAGAAGGAAGAAGAAGGUGUGUUGGGUCCAGAUGGGCACGGCGGAUACCAGCCUGUCUGUCACUUGGCCACCGCCCUUCUUGCGCUACGGCGCCAAAAGUUUGUGCCGCCUCGGCAGGAGAGGCAGAAAAUCGAACUUUGGCAAAAGCUGACGGACGGAGACAAAGCUCCUUUUGCCUCCCCCCCGCCACGCUCAAAAGCUGAACAAGUGACGCUUUAAGGUCUCCAGGCAGCACCACUCGGAAGCGGUGGCCAGUGUAAAAUGGUAGUGUGUGAAACAAUUUAUUUUUUUAACUUGUGUCCUCGUGUUUGUCAGUCUUGUUUUGUGUGGGUUCACGGUGUGGCGCAUAUUUGUAACAGCGUUAAAGUUGUUUAUUCAGCCACCCUCAGUCUGACCUGAUCAAGUAUCCUUGUAUUAACUUAUGUGUGUGUAAAAUCCGCUUACAUUGUGUGACUAGCACGGCACAAUGUUUGGAAGUAGGAAAAGCGGACGUGAUGCAAGUUUGUAGAGAACGCUGAAGGAAGUGCCAUUAAAGGGGAACAUUAUCACAAUUUCAAAAGGGUUAAAAACAAUAAAAAUCAGUUCCCAGUG